This is a long non-coding RNA of Brassica napus (rape), 1274 nucleotides long. RefSeq lists it as uncharacterized. NCBI's taxonomy places the organism in Eukaryota, Viridiplantae, Streptophyta, Magnoliopsida, Brassicales, Brassicaceae. The transcript is spliced from 3 exons. The record is from RefSeq and is a predicted model, not a curated record.
GAUCUAACAAUACUAAAAGCAGGAUAUCAAGCCUUCUAAGCGCGUCCACGUAGGAUUGGAAAUUCAGACCAAUAGUAAAUAGCCAGCUGUCCCAUCUCCAAAAGCCUCCUUCUUUCUUCAGUUUUUAUCGCAGUAAAGUAUACAACUUCUGGCCUUUUCGCUUCCUCCUUCGUCUCAUCUCAUUCCGUCUCUUUAAUUGUUUCAUCUACGUUUUUAAUUCCCUUCUUUAUUGUAACUGUAUGUAUAUUGCAUCUUCCUGGAUCAUCUAUAAACCAUCAAAUUAAUUUUUUUUCCCAAGCAAAACUCUUAGAAUCACAAGCUCCGGAGAAGAGCUCCAAGAUCUCGCCCGUGAAUUUGUUCUCGGCUAAAGAUAGAUAAUGUAGGCUUUUGAGCGGCAGUGACGGGAUGUGUCAGACAACAAGGUUGCCGAAGAUGAUGGUGGCGAGAUUAAGUAUCUUUUCAUAUAUUUGGUUUGGUUUAUUGACUCUUUUUGACCUUUUGGAUUUAUGUUCAUAUUUUCUUUCAUCAAUUAUAUUGAUCCUACAUCUGCAAAGGUUACUUUCUCCGAACUACAUCUGCAUAGGUAUGUAAUCUUAGAAAACCUGUCUUGAUGCGUUGUUCUUGCCUUCAUUUUGUUAAACCAAUCAGCCAAAAAAAUCCUAAGAACACAUGGUAAAUAUCUUAUAUAUCUGAUUGUUUAAAUUAAUUUUUCUUACAUAAGUUUUACAGAAUUGUGCCCAAUUAGUUUUCGUUCAUGCCCUAUCAUGGGGAAGGCCAACGGCUGAGUCUCUCAAAAAGGUUCAUGAAAAUGGCUUUUUUGAGAUGAACAAACUGAUCAUUAAAGUGGAAGUAAAGAUAGUUCAAGCAUUUGAUGAAAGAGAUGUAAGUGGGAGGGAGAUGGUAGAUUCCAAUGGUUUCCAUGUUCUUUGCACUCAGUGUUCAUAUUGGAUAACUAUUACCUUUCAUGUGUUCACAUCCUUGAUACAGAUAGGUUUGUAUGGAAGAAAUUGGAAACUUCAGGGAAGCACCUCGAUCUGGUCACGUCAGUGUUGCCAGAGCUAGCCUUGAUCAAAGUGUGUUAACACGGAACUCUUAAGCCGGAAUUGGAAUCACUCAGUUGUUGUAUAUAGUUUUAUUGCAGGAAAGAGAGAAUAUCCCUUUGAGCAUAGGCUAGAUUGAUCAAUGAAAUUGAUUUUCAAGCCAUGGUUAGUGAGAACGUCGCUUUAGGUUGCACUAUAGAAACCAUCAUUGAUGGAAGGGUGCUACACGGUGUU